This 422-nucleotide ribosomal RNA is filed under the name uncultured bacterium. Its description in RNAcentral is "partial 16S ribosomal RNA". It matches the Rfam family "Bacterial small subunit ribosomal RNA", at positions 360 to 774 of the family's 1533-position model. The record is from RNAcentral.
AAUUUUGGACAAUGGUGGAAACGCUGAUCUAGCCAUCCCGCGGGUAGGAUGAAGGCCUNCGGGUUNGNAAGUACUUUUGGCAGAGNAGAAUAGGUACCUCCUAAUACGAGGUACUGCUGACGGUAUCUGCAGAAUAAGCACCGGCUAACUACGAGCCAGCAGCCGCGGUAAUACGUAGGGUGCAAGCGUUAAGCGGAAUUACUGGGAGUAAAGCGUGUGUAGGCGGUUCGGACAGAAAGAUGAGAACUCCCAGGGCUCAGCUUUGAAACUGCAUUUUUAACUGCCGAGCUAGAGUAUGUCAGAGGGGGGUAGACUUCCACGUGUAGCAGUGAAAUGCGUAGAUAUGUGGAGGAAUACGGAUGGCGAAGGCAGCCCCCUGGGAUAAUACUGACGCUCAGACACGAAAGCGUGGGGAGCAAACA